UGCCAAGAAAAACACGUUCAUUUG
RNAcentral lists this unclassified non-coding RNA (24 nucleotides) under Mus musculus (house mouse). Its description in RNAcentral is "oocyte_clustered_small_RNA13438". The record is from RNAcentral. Lineage: Eukaryota; Metazoa; Chordata; Mammalia; Rodentia; Muridae.